Molecule: ribosomal RNA, 326 nt
Filed under: uncultured Desulfococcus sp.
Lineage: Bacteria; Pseudomonadati; Thermodesulfobacteriota; Desulfobacteria; Desulfobacterales; Desulfococcaceae
Description: bacterial SSU rRNA
Rfam family: Bacterial small subunit ribosomal RNA
Source: RNAcentral
AGUGAACGCUGGCGGCGUGCCUAACACAUGCAAGUCGCACGAGAACGCUUCAGCUUGCUGAAGUUAGUAAAGUGGCGCACGGGUGAGUAACGCGUGGGUAACCCACCUCCGAAUUGGGGAUAACAUUGCGAAAGCGAUGCUAAUACCGAAUAAUAUCUUAUACACCUCGGUGCUUAAGAUCAAAGAUGGCCUCUCCUUGGAAGCUAUCGUUUGGGGACGGGCCCGCGUACCAUUAGCUUGUUGGUAGGGUAAUGGCCUACCAAGGCUACGAUGGUUAGCUGGUCUGAGAGGAUGAUCAGCCACACUGGAACUGACACACGGUCCAG